UCCGGGGGGAGCAAGCGUUGUUCGGAUUUACUGGGCGUAAAGGGCGCGUAGGCGGCCACCGCAAGUCGACUGUGAAAUCUCCGGGCUUAACUCGGAAAGGUCAGCCGAUACUGCGGGGCUAGAGUGCAGAAGGGGCAGCUGGAAUUCUCGGUGUAGCGGUGAAAUGCGUAGAUAUCGAGAGGAACACCUGCGGCGAAGGCGGGUUGCUGGGCUGACACUGACGCUGAGGCGCGAAAGCUAGGGGAGCGAACGGG
RNAcentral lists this ribosomal RNA (254 nucleotides) under uncultured bacterium. Its description in RNAcentral is "partial 16S ribosomal RNA". It matches the Rfam family "Bacterial small subunit ribosomal RNA", at positions 524 to 776 of the family's 1533-position model. The record is from RNAcentral.